This 433-nucleotide ribosomal RNA is filed under the name uncultured bacterium. RNAcentral's name for it is "partial 16S ribosomal RNA". It matches the Rfam family "Bacterial small subunit ribosomal RNA", at positions 29 to 507 of the family's 1533-position model. The record is from RNAcentral.
AACGAACGCUGGCGGCAUGCCUAACACAUGCAAGUCGAACGAAGGCUUCGGCCUUAGUGGCGCACGGGUGCGUAACGCGGGGGAAUCUGCCCUUUGGCUCGGAAUAACAGCUGGAAACGGCUGCUAAUACCGGAUGAUGACGAAAGUCAAAAGAUUUAUCGCCAGAGGAUGAGCCCGCGUUGGAUUAGGUGGUUGGGAGGGUAAAGGCCUACCAAGCCGACGUUCCAUAGCUGGUCUGAGAGGAUGAUCAGCCACACUGGGACUGGGACGCGGCCCGGACUACUGGGCAAGGGGGCAGAGCGUGAUACUGGACAACCGGCGCGAGCCUGAAGCACCUAGGCCGGGUAAGUGAUUAAGUCCGUAGAGAAAUAAAGCUCUUUUACCCGGGGAGGUAAUGACGGUACCGAGAGAAUAAGCCCCGGCUAACUCCGUG